Molecule: long non-coding RNA, 617 nt
Organism: Procambarus clarkii (red swamp crayfish)
Lineage: Eukaryota; Metazoa; Arthropoda; Malacostraca; Decapoda; Cambaridae
Source: RefSeq, a predicted model, not a curated record
CUGUGUUAUUGAUUCCUGAGGCCACAACUCUGAAUAUUUCGGAGUUGUUGGUUAGUUCGCGGGCGGGCGGCCCCGAGCUGCUCAGUUCUGGCCUUCACCUUGUACAGUUUGGACUCCUCGCCUGUGGUUGGACAGAUUUUUUUUGCACUCUGAAGUUUGGUGAUGUCUAGACAGCAGCUUAUUAUGUUGGUGGCGGGGGUAAUUUUGGCCCAGUACAUAUACAUGUUAAUCGGAUUUUACUGGAAGGGACAAGCUAAAAUAGCGCUUAAACCUAACUAUGCUCACAGUAUUUUGCUGAUUGCAGCUGAAAGUACUUUAAACUUUUACUUGACUCUCAACAAAGAUCCAGAGACCAUGUUGAGAAAAAUGAGACUUUCUGCUGCAAAAAUACAACAGGGAUCCUCUGAAAACUCAAAAUCUGCAGACUUGUUAUUAGAAAAGGCGUUUAAGUCGCUGGGAAAGAGUACCCAGAGAGCUAAAGAUUUGGUAGAUUUUCUAAGUGUUUCAGGACGCGGUCUCCUGGAAUUUGAUAUGUUUGAUGAUAUUGAAGAAAAUUGAAUUGCUACAAAGGCACAACCUCCAUUUUUAAUAAUGUUAAUAAAGAGUUUUUAAUUUCG